Molecule: ribosomal RNA, 216 nt
Filed under: uncultured bacterium
Lineage: Bacteria
Description: partial 16S ribosomal RNA
Rfam family: Bacterial small subunit ribosomal RNA
Source: RNAcentral
AUCCCAGUUCGGAUUGCAGGCUGCAACCCGCCUGUAUGAAGUUGGAAUCGCUAGUAAUCGCGGAUCAGCAUGCCGCGGUGAAUACGUUCCCGGGCCUUGUACACACCGCCCGUCACACCAUGAGAGUCGGGAACACCCGAAGUCCGUAGCCUAACCGCAAGGAGGGCGCGGCCGAAGGUGGGUUCGAUAAUUGGGGUGAAGUCGUAACAAGGUAGC